RNAcentral lists this ribosomal RNA (464 nucleotides) under Vreelandella stevensii. RNAcentral describes it as "partial 16S ribosomal RNA". It matches the Rfam family "Bacterial small subunit ribosomal RNA", at positions 338 to 794 of the family's 1533-position model. The record is from RNAcentral. Lineage: Bacteria; Pseudomonadati; Pseudomonadota; Gammaproteobacteria; Oceanospirillales; Halomonadaceae.
CCUACGGGUGGCUGCAGUGGGGAAUAUUGGACAAUGGGCGAAAGCCUGAUCCAGCCAUGCCGCGUGUGUGAAGAAGGCCUUCGGGUUGUAAAGCACUUUCAGUGGGGAAGAAAGCCUUGGGGCUAAUACCCUCGAGGAAGGACAUCACCCACAGAAGAAGCACCGGCUAACUCCGUGCCAGCAGCCGCGGUAAUACGGAGGGUGCGAGCGUUAAUCGGAAUUACUGGGCGUAAAGCGCGCGUAGGCGGUCUGAUAAGCCGGUUGUGAAAGCCCCGGGCUCAACCUGGGAACGGCAUCCGGAACUGUCAGGCUAGAGUGCAGGAGAGGAAGGUAGAAUUCCCGGUGUAGCGGUGAAAUGCGUAGAGAUCGGGAGGAAUACCAGUGGCGAAGGCGGCCUUCUGGACUGACACUGACGCUGAGGUGCGAAAGCGUGGGUAGCAAACAGGAUUAGAUACCCCAGUAUC